This 72-nucleotide transfer RNA is filed under the name Bacteriophage sp. RNAcentral's name for it is "tRNA-Arg". It matches the Rfam family "tRNA". From Rfam's summary of the family: Transfer RNA (tRNA) molecules are approximately 80 nucleotides in length. Their secondary structure includes four short double-helical elements and three loops (D, anti-codon, and T loops). RNAcentral also lists the same sequence under 1 other name. The record is from RNAcentral.
GCCCCUGUAGUUCAAUGGAGAGAACCUCAGAUUUCUAACCUGAUAAUCCAGAUUCGAAUUCUGGCGGGGGUA